CCUGGUUGAUCCUGCCAGUAACAUAUGCUUGUCUCAAAGAUUAAGCCAUGCAGGUCUAAGUGCACACGGCCGGUACAGUGAAACUGCGAAUGGCUCAUUAAAUCAGUUAUGGUUCCUUUGAUCGCUCCAUCCGUUACUUGGAUAACUGUGGCAAUUCCAGAGCUAAUACAUGCCAACGAGCGCCGACCCGGUCCCCCCUGGGGGUCCGGGGACGCGCGCAUUUAUCAGAUCCAAAACCCAUGCGGGUGCGCGGGCGGCGGAGAGGGGGGCCUCGCGCCUACCCGCCGCCGUCCGCCCCCGGCCUCGCUUUGGUGACUCUAGAUAACCUCGGGCCGAUCGCGCGCCCUCCGCGGCGGCGACGGUUCAUUCGAAUGUCUGCCCUAUCAACUUUCGAUGGUAGGUCCGUCGCCUACCAUGGUGACCACGGGUGACGGGGAAUCAGGGUUCGAUUCCGGAGAGGGAGCCUGAGAAACGGCUACCACAUCCAAGGAAGGCAGCAGGCGCGCAAAUUACCCAUUUCCGACACGGAGAGGUAGUGACGAAAAAUAACAAUGCAGGUCUCUUUCGAGGCCCUGCAAUUGGAAUGAGUGCAUCCCAAACCCAUGGGCGAGGACCCAUUGGAGGGCAAGUCUGGUGCCAGCAGCCGCGGUAAUUCCAGCUCCAAUAGCGUAUGCUAACGUUGCUGCAGUUAAAAAGCUCGUAGUUGGAUCUCGGGGACCGGGCCGCGCGGUCCGCCGCGAGGCGAGCCACCGCCGGUCCCGGACCCCCAGGCCUCCCGGCGCCCCCCGGAUGCCCUUGACUGGGUGUCCUCGGCUUGGGGCCCGGAGCGUUUACUUUGAAAAAAUUAGAGUGUUCAAAGCAGGGCCGCCCAGCCGCCGCUGAAUACCGCAGCUAGGAAUAAUGGAAUAGGACCCCGGUUCUAUUUUCUGUGGGUUUCCGGAACCCGGGGCCAUGAUCGAGAGGGACGGCCGGGGGCAUUCGUAUUGCGCCGCUAGAGGUGAAAUUCUUGGACCGGCGCAAGACGGACGAAAGCGAAAGCAUUUGCCAAGAAUGUUUUCAUUAAUC
This 1065-nucleotide ribosomal RNA is filed under the name Danio rerio (zebrafish). Its description in RNAcentral is "SSU rRNA". It matches the Rfam family "Eukaryotic small subunit ribosomal RNA", at positions 3 to 978 of the family's 1831-position model. The record is from RNAcentral. Lineage: Eukaryota; Metazoa; Chordata; Actinopteri; Cypriniformes; Danionidae.